This 1482-nucleotide ribosomal RNA is filed under the name uncultured Cytophagaceae bacterium. RNAcentral's name for it is "bacterial SSU rRNA". It matches the Rfam family "Bacterial small subunit ribosomal RNA". The record is from RNAcentral. RNAcentral also lists the same sequence under 2 other names. Lineage: Bacteria; Pseudomonadati; Bacteroidota; Cytophagia; Cytophagales; Cytophagaceae.
AGAGUUUGAUUCUGGCUCAGGAUGAACGCUAGCGGCAGGCCUAAUACAUGCAAGGCGAGGGGUUAGCAAUAACACCGUCGUACGGGUGCGUAACGCGUAUGCAACCUACCUAUCACAGGGGGAUAGCCUUUGGAAACAGGGAUUAAUACCGCAUAAAGCAGGGGCUUGGCAUCAAGAUACUGCUAAAGAUUUAUCGGUGAUAGAUGGGCAUGCGUCUGAUUAGUUAGAUGGUGAGGUAACGGCUCACCAUGACGAUGAUCAGUAGGGGGCGUCAGAGCGUGGUCCCCCACACUGGCACUGAGAUACGGGCCAGACUCCUACGGGAGGCAGCAGUAGGGAAUAUUGGGCAAUGGAUGCAAGUCUGACCCAGCCAUGCCGCGUGCAGGAAGAAGGUCCUCUGGAUUGUAAACUGCUUUUGUCGGGGAAGAAUAGGCAUCUUGCGAGGUGUUGUGACGGUACCCGAUGAAUAAGCCACGGCUAACUACGUGCCAGCAGCCGCGGUAAUACGUAGGUGGCAAGCGUUGUCCGGAUUUAUUGGGUUUAAAGGGUGCGUAGGUGGUUUGCUAAGUCAGUGGUGAAAGCUGGUUGCUCAACAAUCAAGUUGCCAUUGAUACUGUCAGACUUGAGAGAAGUGGAGGCUCAUGGAAUGGAUGGUGUAGCGGUGAAAUGCAUAGAUAUCAUCCAGAACGUCGAUUGCGAAGGCAGUGGGCUGUACUUUUUCUGACACUGAGGCACGAAAGCGUGGGGAUCAAACAGGAUUAGAUACCCUGGUAGUCCACGCCCUAAACGAUGCGAACUGGACGUUGGGCUCAAUUGAGAGCUCAGUGUCGAAGCUAACGCGUUAAGUUCGCCGCCUGGGGAGUACGGUCGCAAGGUUGAAACUCAAAGGAAUUGACGGGGACCCGCACAAGCGGUGGAUGAUGUGGUUUAAUUCGAUGCAACGCGAAAAACCUUACCCACCUUUGACAUGUACGGAAUUUUCCAGAGAUGGAUUAGUGCUCGAAAGAGAGCCGUAACACAGGUGCUGCAUGGCUGUCGUCAGCUCGUGUCGUGAGAUGUUGGGUUAAGUCCCGCAACGAGCGCAACCCUUGUCAUUAGUUGCUACAUUUAGUUGGGCACUCUAAUGAGACUGCCGGUGACAAACCGGAGGAAGGUGGGGAUGACGUCAAGUCCUCAUGGCCCUUAUAGGUGGGGCUACACACGUCAUACAAUGGCUGGUACAAAGGGUUGCCAACCCGCGAGGGGGAGCUAAUCCCAUAAAGCCAGUCGUAGUCCGGAUCGCAGUCUGCAACUCGACUCUAUGAAGCUGGAAUCGCUAGUAAUCGUGGAUCAGCAUGCCACGGUGAAUACGUUCCCGGGCCUUGUACACACCGCCCGUCACGCCAUGGGAGUUGGUGUCGCCUGAAAAGGUCCAGCUAACCGCAAGGAAGCAGAUCUUAAUGGUGAUACCGAUGACUGGGGUGAAGUCGUAACAAGGUAACC